RNAcentral lists this long non-coding RNA (1054 nucleotides) under Ananas comosus (pineapple). Its description in RNAcentral is "long non-coding RNA (ACOM_LNC035105)". Lineage: Eukaryota; Viridiplantae; Streptophyta; Magnoliopsida; Poales; Bromeliaceae. The record is from RNAcentral.
UAUGUUUUAGGCCUUUUACAAACAAUUCUAUCAGGAUUACAAGCAAUCCUGUUUGGUUCGGGUUAUCCUGGUAGGAUUACAAGCAAUCCUGCGAGAAUUACUGUGUUUGGUUCAUCCGGUAUGUAAUCAAAUCGGUAACGUAGCAAUGCAAAUGGUGCAGAAUUAUACUAAAAAUAUUAACGAGAUUAGGGGUGUGUAUCUUUGAGUGCUGAAAGCCAGUAAUACUGCAUAUUAUGUAAAAUAACAAUUUUACCUCUCAAACUCUCAAAACCUUUUCAAUACGUCAUUUUAAAAAAUUUAAUUUAAAAUUUUGUCACGCCCCGGGGUCCCUUUUUAUUUUGAAACACAGCGGAAAAGCGUUUAAAAGUUUUUUUUUUUGAAAACCUGACCCCAGAGUAUGCCAGAUCCGCCACAAAUAUAGGGAAUCCACUGUUCACACGGGCAGAGUCUCCCCUGUAUUUGCACGGCGUCGCACAAGUACAAAAGUAUAAACAGUAUACAACCACAACUAAAUGAAUAUACAGAUAGCUAUACAUUCAUACCUUCACCAUUCACACCGUAGUUUUACAUUCGAUGUUUAAACAAAAAACCACGAAAAAUCUUUUGAAAACUGUUCCAUACGCGAAAACUUUUAUCUUUUAUAAAAGCUACCACGAGGGGUAGAAAACCUUUUAUUUUACCAAAUCCAGAAAUCCUUUUAUUACAUUCAUGAAAGUCCACAUAUUCCAAUGUAAUAAAAAUACUGAACCAUAUAAACUGACUAAGCUAUAACAACAGAAUAGUAGGGAUAAAACUAAACCGAUAACCUGAGUCGGAAGCUCUAUCGACCGCUACGAACGUACCUCACGUCUCGUCCCAAAACUCAACGCCUGCAAUACCUGAAAAAAAAUGGUGGGGGAGGUGAGAACAUGUAAACAUGUCUCCCCUCCCAGUGGGUACCGCAAGCCGACGAAGGCGAGGAGUACUCACCGGAUCAGGAAGAUAAACAAUGGUAUAUGGGUAAGUGAAAUACAGUAGCAACGAUAAUGACGAAUGAGAUAUAGAUAUAAGAGAA